AUGGGAACUCAGGCAAUGCCGUCCGGUGGGGCCAUCUCGCGCCAGGGCUCGCUCUGCAGCCUCACGCUGAGCGACGUCGAGGGCCAGCUGCACGGCGUCAACCUCGACGACCUCCUCCGCACGGCCGGCUCGGCCAGGAGGACGGCUGACGAGGUGUGGCGGGACAUCCACGGCGCCGACGGCGGCACCAGCCGCCCGCGGGCCCAGAUGACGCUCGAGGACUUCCUGUCCAGGCCCGGUGGCGACGCGGGGGGCGCCCACUGGGCCGAGCAGUACAAUCCCCCGGCCCCGGUGCCGAGGCAGCAGCGCCACAACAACGUCGGGCGUCCCCUGCAGCGGCCGCUGGGGGUGGGCGCCGGGCCGGUGCUGGACGCGCUGUACCACGACCACGACGGGGCCGCCAUGUCCGGGCGAAAGCGUGCCGCCGUGGGCGGCCCCGGGGAGAAGACGGUGGAGCGGCGGAAGAAGCGGAUGAUCAAGAACCGGGAGUCGGCGGCGAGGUCGCGUGCGAGGAAGCAGGCGUACACGAACGAGCUCGAGAACAAGAUCUCCCGACUGGAAGAGGAGAACGAGCAGCUCAGGAGUUACAAGGCAUUUGAACCGGUGGUGCACUGUGUGCCGCAGCAGGAGCCAAAGAACCAGCUCCGGCGGAGGAACUCGGCCAGCUUCUGA
This 672-nucleotide ribosomal RNA is filed under the name Triticum aestivum (bread wheat). Its description in RNAcentral is "partial small subunit ribosomal RNA". Lineage: Eukaryota; Viridiplantae; Streptophyta; Magnoliopsida; Poales; Poaceae. The record is from RNAcentral.